Molecule: long non-coding RNA, 435 nt
Filed under: Manihot esculenta (cassava)
Lineage: Eukaryota; Viridiplantae; Streptophyta; Magnoliopsida; Malpighiales; Euphorbiaceae
Description: long non-coding RNA (MESC_LNC006374)
Source: RNAcentral
AAGCCCCCUCUGCGUGGCCUUUACCGUGAUAUAUAUAUCUAUCUCUCUGCCACAAUGCUAGCUGUCUUCUGCCGCCUAGCUCCGUAUGUACGGAUGUGUCAGGCGCCUGCUCCAUGCGUAACGGCCAUUAAUUCUCCUCUGAUACGUAUGAUUCUCCUCUGAUACGCAUGCGGAAGGACCUACCAGCGGGGCAUCUUGGUCAUUUUCCCCUUUCCGGGCUGGGUUGAAUGGUAGGGCUGAAAUUGAGCCUGGUGAGGGCCUGAUUACUGGGCCGAGAGGUUUGGGCCGGUUUGGUUGAGGAGUCUAGGCGGAGUCCGACCCUGUGACUGAGCGGGCUGGACCUGGCUCUCGAGGGGAAUAUUGAAGCCUUCGGAUCAUGGACUGUUUUCAUGGGCCUGGCCUUUAUACCGGGGUGAAGAAAUCCAGUGAUCAUCA